AUUGAACGCUGGCGGAAUGCUUUACACAUGCAAGUCGAACGGUAGAGGGGGCAACCCCUCGAGAGUGGCGAACGGGUGAGUAAUAUAUCGGAACGUGCCCAGUCGUGGGGGAUAACGUAGCGAAAGUUACGCUAAUACCGCAUACGAUCUAAGGAUGAAAGCGGGGGAUCGCAAGACCUCGCGCGAUUGGAGCGGCCGAUAUCAGAUUAGGUAGUUGGUGGGGUAAAGGCUCACCAAGCCAACGAUCUGUAGCUGGCAUGAGAGGACGACCGGCCGAACUGGAACUGGGACACCGUCCAGACUCCUACGGGAGGCAGCAGUGGGGAAUUUUGGACAAUGGACGCAAGUCUGAUCCAGCCAUUCCGCGUGCAGGAUGAAGGCCCUCGGGUUGUAAACUGCUUUUGUACGGAACGAAAAGGUCUCUCUUAAUACGGGGGACUCAUGACGGUACCGUAAGAAUAAGCACCGGCUAACUACGUGCCAGCCGCCGCAGUAA
Molecule: ribosomal RNA, 496 nt
Filed under: uncultured bacterium
Lineage: Bacteria
Description: partial 16S ribosomal RNA
Rfam family: Bacterial small subunit ribosomal RNA
Source: RNAcentral